CGAGUGAAGCGGGAAGAGCUCAAAUUUGUAAUCUGGCACUUUCAGUGUCCGAGUUGUAAUCUCGAGAAGUAUUUUCCGCGCCGGACCGCAUACAAGUCUGUUGGAAUACAGCGUCAUAGUGGUGAGAACCCCGUAACUGAUGCGGAUGCCCGGUGCUUUGUGAUAUACUUUCGAAGAGUCGAGUUGUUUGGGAAUGCAGCUCAAAUUGGGUGGUAAAUUCCAUCUAAAGCUAAAUAUUGGAGCAAGACCGAUAGCGAACAAGUACCGUGAGGGAAAGAUGAAAAGCACUUUGGAAAGAGAGUUAACAGUACGUGAAAUUGUUGGAAGGGAAACGCUUGAAGUCAGACUUGCUAUUCGGAGUUCAGCCGCAAGGUGUAUUCUUCGAUUUGCAGGCCAGCAUCAGUUUUUGGGGGUGGAAAAUCGUGGUUUGAAGGUAGCAGUUUCGGCUGUGUUAUAGCUUUCCACUGGAUUCAUCUUCGGGGACUGAGGAACGCAGUACGCUUUUUGCAAGGCUCUCGAGCUUUUCGUACUUAGG
RNAcentral lists this ribosomal RNA (535 nucleotides) under Leucosporidium scottii. RNAcentral describes it as "LSU rRNA". It matches the Rfam family "Eukaryotic large subunit ribosomal RNA", at positions 90 to 621 of the family's 3401-position model. Lineage: Eukaryota; Fungi; Basidiomycota; Microbotryomycetes; Leucosporidiales; Leucosporidiaceae. The record is from RNAcentral.